GAACUGAUCCAGGUGAAGAACGA
This 23-nucleotide non-coding RNA is filed under the name Cricetulus griseus (Chinese hamster). Lineage: Eukaryota; Metazoa; Chordata; Mammalia; Rodentia; Cricetidae. The record is from RNAcentral.